GAGGAGAGAUUUCGGUCUUGGCUUUGCCAUGUACUGAGACGCUCGAAUCUUUUUUCUGGGGAAACAGGGUGUUCUUCACUGAAUGCUCUGGGGAACCAGGACGAUUACCUUGAGAAAAAUAGAGUGUUCAAAGCAGGCUUUUGCUUGAAUACGUUAGCAUGGAAUAAUAAAAUAGGACUUUGGUUCUAUUUUGUUGGUUUUAAGGACCAAUGUC
RNAcentral lists this ribosomal RNA (214 nucleotides) under uncultured fungus. Its description in RNAcentral is "partial small subunit ribosomal RNA". The stretch from base 87 to 214 matches the Rfam family "Eukaryotic small subunit ribosomal RNA", at positions 734 to 864 of the family's 1831-position model. The record is from RNAcentral. Lineage: Eukaryota; Fungi.